CAAGAAGCCGAAAGGCAACUUCAAACCAUCGCGAACGUAUCCAAGUUGCUUCGGCGGCGCGGGACCCCUCGGGGGACCGCAGCCCACGCCCCCCGGGGCGAGGGGCGCCCGCCGGAGGUCACAAACUCUCAUGUAUUAUAGUGGCAUCUCUGAGUAAAAAACAAAUAAGUUA
Molecule: unclassified non-coding RNA, 172 nt
Filed under: uncultured Coniochaeta
Lineage: Eukaryota; Fungi; Ascomycota; Sordariomycetes; Coniochaetales
Description: sequence contains ITS1
Source: RNAcentral